CGCUAGCGGCAGGCUUAAUACAUGUAAGUCGAGGGGUAGCAUGAUUGUAGCAAUACAAUUGAUGACGACCGGCAAACGGGUGCGGAACACGUACACAACCUUCCUACAAGUGGGGAAUAGCCCAGAGAAAUUUGGAUUAAUACCCCGUAACAUAGCGAUGUGGCAUCACAUUGCUAUUAUAGCUUCGGCGCCUGUUGAUGGGUGUGCGGCUGAUUAGAUAGUUGGCGGGGUAACGGCCCACCAAGUCUACGAUCAGUAGCUGAUGUGAGAGCAUGAUCAGCCACACGGGCACUGAGACACGGUCCAGACUCCUACGGGAGGCAGCAGUGGGGAAUUUUGGACAAUGGGCGCAAGCCUGAACCAGCCAUGCCGCGUGCAGGAAGACGGUCCUAUGGAUUGUAAACUGCUUUUAUACAGGAAGAAACACCUCCACGUGUGGAGGCUUGACGGUACUGUAGGAAUAAGGAUCGGCUAACUCCGUG
This 482-nucleotide ribosomal RNA is filed under the name uncultured bacterium. RNAcentral describes it as "bacterial SSU rRNA". It matches the Rfam family "Bacterial small subunit ribosomal RNA", at positions 34 to 507 of the family's 1533-position model. The record is from RNAcentral.